ACCUGGCUGGCUUAGUUGGUAGAGCAUGUGACUCUUGAUCUCAGGGUCAUGAGUUCAAGCCCCAUGUUGGGCA
Molecule: transfer RNA, 73 nt
Filed under: Canis lupus familiaris (dog)
Lineage: Eukaryota; Metazoa; Chordata; Mammalia; Carnivora; Canidae
Also listed under: 3 other names
Rfam family: tRNA
About the family: Transfer RNA (tRNA) molecules are approximately 80 nucleotides in length.
Source: Rfam by way of RNAcentral